Molecule: long non-coding RNA, 1414 nt
Filed under: Mus spicilegus (steppe mouse)
Lineage: Eukaryota; Metazoa; Chordata; Mammalia; Rodentia; Muridae
Description: lncRNA (ENSMSIG00000013488.1)
Source: RNAcentral
GAGGGACCUCUGACCUACAGGUUUACCAGCUGGACCUCAGCAUGCAGGCUGAGGUGGAAGAAAGGGUACAGGCCAUGGUGGAAAGGUCCAGUCUGCUUUCCCAACGUCUAGUGAGUACAGGACAGGUUUCCUCAGGUCUCCACUCGAGUCUCCCUGUCAGCUUCGCCCCAGUACCACCACCCACCUACUCCCAGGAGGCAAGUCUGUUGCUGGUUGAGGAGCUGCACUUCUGGCCCCUCAACAGCAUGCUCCUCCUCCCCCGGGCAAACUCCUGUUCUCGCUUCAAGAUCUUGUUCAUGGAGCCUCUGUGGUCUCUUGGCAGCAGGGUCAUAGAUGACCCUCAAGAAAGGGACCAGCUAGAACUGGGAGUCCAUGAGUGGUGCUCAGGAAAGCGGUAAUAUGGAGGUUGUCCAGGAAAGUAGUCUUCAGGAGAGAUGCUGGGACAUGGACAUGGAGACACGUACAGGUCCUGGAGAAAAUGGCUCAACUGGAGCUAGGCUAGGGCUGGGGCUGGCUGCAAUACCUCUGUGUACAUAUCUGUUGGCUUUCUCCCAGGCUGCAGAAUCUAACAGCAGCUCCAUGUUCAGCAGAGUCUCAUGUCCUCAGGUCUACCCAAUAGAGCAGGGCUUCUCUUAUAUAACGGGGAUCCUGAGAUAUAAGCUGGGGACCUGCCCAAGGCCAUAUGCCCAAUCAGAGAAGACAGGACUCUGAGGAGUAAACUUCUGGGCCCCUGUCCGGGGAGGAUCUUGGUCCAGGCUCUGUGCUGAGCAGAAGGGCUUCUUUCCCUAUGAGGAUUCAGACCUCCUCACCCACUCACCAACACUUAGAGGCCGCAAUCCUGGAAGGCCUCUUUGGGUCCCAGGAGUGAUGGAGGGGACUAUGGGACCUCAGCCAGGUUGGCUACCCGCCCUGAGGUCUGUGCCCAAGCCUGGGCCUCACUGGCUCUAACUGGCUGCUCCCCCAGGCUUCCUAACAGGUAAAUAGGGUGGGGCAGGGCAUGGGGUAGCUCAGCCAGUGGCCCUGUCCUUCAAGCAUGGUAGUCUUUAGGGCUGGGUGGGGCUAAAUGAGGGCACAGGAGGCCCAGGAUCAAGCAGAAGGCAGCCACCCUGAGGUGCCCAUGCAGGUGGCACCAGUGGGUUCCUUGGAGCUGGGACUCAGGUCCUUUGGGAAAGGAGCUCUUGUAGUGCCUACAGUGGCUACAUUCACUACAUUUGUUGUCCUCUGGGUCACACCCAGGCCAGGGGAGUUCUACAACUGGAGGAAGCUCAUCCCUAAAGGCCUGGUAGUUAAGACCCUGCCCCUGCGUGCCUUCAGCUAUAGGCUGUCCUGACUAUGGCUGCCUGGGGCCUGGCCAAGGACAGUGAAGGGCAGCCCCUGUCAUCCUGGCCUCUUGGAGGCAUGAGGGGCUUGGUCC